RNAcentral lists this ribosomal RNA (353 nucleotides) under uncultured Mycobacterium sp. Its description in RNAcentral is "bacterial SSU rRNA". It matches the Rfam family "Bacterial small subunit ribosomal RNA", at positions 997 to 1351 of the family's 1533-position model. Lineage: Bacteria; Bacillati; Actinomycetota; Actinomycetes; Mycobacteriales; Mycobacteriaceae. The record is from RNAcentral.
ACGGCAGAGAUGUCGUUUCCCUUGUGGCCUGUGUGCAGGUGGUGCAUGGCUGUCGUCAGCUCGUGUCGUGAGAUGUUGGGUUAAGUCCCGCAACGAGCGCAACCCUUGUCUCAUGUUGCCAGCACGUAAUGGUGGGGACUCGUGAGAGACUGCCGGGGUCAACUCGGAGGAAGGUGGGGAUGACGUCAAGUCAUCAUGCCCCUUAUGUCCAGGGCUUCACACAUGCUACAAUGGCCGGUACAAAGGGCUGCGAUGCCGUGAGGUGGAGCGAAUCCUUUUAAAGCCGGUCUCAGUUCGGAUCGGGGUCUGCAACUCGACCCCGUGAAGUCGGAGUCGCUAGUAAUCGCAGAUCA